AGCAGCCGCGGUAAUUCCAACUCCAAUAGCGUAUAUUAAAGUUGUUGCAGUUAAAAAGCUCGUAGUUGAAUUUCGGGGUUAGUAGGUUGGUCAUGCCUCUGGUAUGUACUGGUCUCACUGAUUCCUCCUUCCUGAUGAAUCUUAAUGCCAUUAAUUUGGUGUUUUGGGGAAUUUGGACUGUUACUUUGAAAAAAUUAGAGUGUUUAAAGCAAGCUAACGCUUGAAUACAUUAGCAUGGAAUAAUGAAAUAGGACGUUCGAUCCUAUUUUGUUGGUUUCUAGGAUUGACGUAAUGAUUAACAGGGAUAGUUGGGGGCAUUAGUAUUCAAUUGUCAGAGGUGAAAUUCUUGGAUUUAUUGAAGACUAACUACUGCGAAAGCAUUUGCCAAGGAUGUUUUCAUUAAUCAAGAACGAAAGUUAGGGGAUCGAAGACGAUCUGAUACCGUCGUAGUCUUAACCAUAAACUAUGCCGACUAGGGAUCGGAUGAUGUUAAUUUUUUAAUGACUCA
RNAcentral lists this ribosomal RNA (508 nucleotides) under uncultured glomeraceous AM fungus. Its description in RNAcentral is "SSU rRNA". It matches the Rfam family "Eukaryotic small subunit ribosomal RNA", at positions 569 to 1078 of the family's 1831-position model. The record is from RNAcentral. Lineage: Eukaryota; Fungi; Glomeromycota; Glomeromycetes; Glomerales; Glomeraceae.